RNAcentral lists this long non-coding RNA (1197 nucleotides) under Mus musculus (house mouse). RNAcentral describes it as "long non-coding RNA chrX:56493230-56494427". Lineage: Eukaryota; Metazoa; Chordata; Mammalia; Rodentia; Muridae. The record is from RNAcentral.
GCGAGAAGAUAACUAUCUUUUUACUUUACAAACAUUUGUGUCGUCAUUGUCUUCUCAAAUUGUAUGCAAGAGUUUAGAGGUGACAUGGCGGCACAAAAGAGCAUUGUCUUUCUCUGUUUCCUUUAUUUUUAACUGCCAUGGUCAUUGUUCUCAACACAUCUAUGUUUUUCUUAUUACAACUAACCUUACCCAAUUGUAAUUCUGGAAUGUGAGAACAAAUAAUGUCUCAAUUCAUGCACACCAACUUCCCUUUUGAACUCUAGAAGCUCAGUGUGGCAUUUCAUUCCUUAAACAAAAUUUGGAAGAAAUCGUAGUUCUUUAUUACCAGUUAAAUGCAUCCUUGACACAACAUGAUGUAAACCAUUCGCAUUAGAGAGCAUCUAAGGAAGAGAAAAACGUGGCUUGGCUUCCUUCUGGUUUUGAAUCUUUUGAGAAAACUAUGCGGAAUGAUUCUGAACCGGUCACGUAAUCAAGAUGAUCAAGGCCAUUUCUGAGGUCGUUGUCAUAACUUACUGCCACCUUUCUAGAGGUUAAAAGGCAUAGACUUCAAUGGGACCAUUGCUGGGAGGGGAAGUGGGGUGUGUUCCUAUUUACCAUGGCAAGUGUGGGCUUUGUAAUCCGAUGCAGUGGGAAGUGAUUUGAUGAUGGGAUUAAAACUGAAAGCAAUGUACUUGUUUGCAUUGGCUGCUACUGGCUCUUCUUACCCACUCUCUUCUGAUUUUUUUCUGCUCCUUACUUCUCUGCUAUUUUCAUUGCCACUUUUGAAUGUUCCAUGUUUGGUUUUAUGUGCAGCACCUUGACUUCUAAGAAAUGAAUCAUGUCCCCCUUGCCCCUUAUAACUGAACUUUUGAGUAUUUAAGAUUUAUUCUAUUCUUACUGUUGUGUAUUUUGUUUCCUUAUAGCCAUUAAAGAAAGCACUAAGGAUGAUGGGAGCUCCAAAUCUGAUAUCAGAUAAUUUAGAUUGUGGACUUAGUUACAGUGUUAUCUCUUACCUUAAAAAACUCAGCCAACAGGUAGUAUUGGUAAAAUCGAACAAACCAAAAUCCUUUGCCCUCAGAAGUGCAUUUCCUUAUUCUUUAGUGUAAUUGUAACUUUUCAAAUUAAAUGUGUAUAUAUCUCUACACUUUAUGGAUUAGUAAUAAUGUGAUUCUCUGUGGCUUCUAGCUUUACCAUUAAACGCAGUUAAGGGUCUGUCAG